Molecule: ribosomal RNA, 201 nt
Filed under: uncultured bacterium
Lineage: Bacteria
Description: partial 16S ribosomal RNA
Rfam family: Bacterial small subunit ribosomal RNA
Source: RNAcentral
GUAGUCUGCAACUCGACUACAUGAAGCUGGAAUCGCUAGUAAUCGCGAAUCAGAAUGUCGCGGUGAAUACGUUCCCGGGUCUUGUACACACCGCCCGUCACACCAUGGGAGUCGGAUAUGCCCGAAGUCAGUGACCCAACCAUAUGGAGGGAGCUGCCGAAGGUGGAGCCGAUAACUGGGGUGAAGUCGUAACAAGGUACC